Molecule: ribosomal RNA, 227 nt
Filed under: Mycolicibacterium frederiksbergense
Lineage: Bacteria; Bacillati; Actinomycetota; Actinomycetes; Mycobacteriales; Mycobacteriaceae
Description: partial 16S ribosomal RNA
Rfam family: Bacterial small subunit ribosomal RNA
Source: RNAcentral
UCAAAGAAAUUGACGGGGGCCCGCACAAGCGGCGGAGCAUGUGGAUUAAUUCGAUGCAACGCGAAGAACCUUACCUGGGUUUGACAUGCACAGGACGACUGCAGAGAUGUGGUUUCCCUUGUGGCCUGUGUGCAGGUGGUGCAUGGCUGUCGUCAGCUCGUGUCGUGAGAUGUUGGGUUAAGUCCCGCAACGAGCGCAACCCUUGUCCUAUGUUGCCAGCGGGUUAU